Molecule: long non-coding RNA, 3165 nt
Filed under: Helianthus annuus (common sunflower)
Lineage: Eukaryota; Viridiplantae; Streptophyta; Magnoliopsida; Asterales; Asteraceae
Description: hypothetical non coding rna
Source: RNAcentral
UGGUCGUACAAGAAGAACAGGGGGGCGAUCCCCACACAUCAAAACCCUAAAUCUUCACCAAACUUGCAAAUUGAAGGCUCAAUCCAAGUCAAAAUCGAAAAUCAAGCAAAGAUUAUUGAUCCCCAUGGCAAGAGGGUUUUUGACUCUUGACAAGCUAGAUGGAGGCUUGGGAAUGAAGCGGGUCAAACGGAGCAAGUACGAAAAGGAAAGCGUAAUUUGGAUGCGAGGUAAGUAAAACUUACACCUAAUUGUAGUGUACGUGUUUAUUUUAUAGGCGAUAGAUACAACAAAGGAUUUGGUUCGAAUUAUGGAUUCCAACACAAAACGAAUUGGGUUGGAACGAAUAGAAACGUUUUAAACCAUGAUUAAUGGUGAAAAAGGCAAAACGGUAAACUAGUCAUGAAUUGGUUAAUAGUUUAAGAGUUUUCUUAAAGUUACCUUAUAGCGUAACUAGUAAUGGAAAAUGAGUAAGAAUGGAAAUUUUAGUCAAGUAUUGACUAAAGUAAAAUAAGUUUCAAAGGACACCCAUAGCAUAAGCCGAAUGGGUUAAAAAUAUAGGAAAUUGACUUUAGAAAGAAAGGGAUCUAGUGAGAAAAUCCGAAAUGGUUCGGAUGUGUGAUUGGUAAUUAAAAACCAUGUUUUUGUUACAUAUGAAAACGUUGGGUUAUAUAGACCGAACGGGUCAAAUGGUGGGAAUAACGUCAUUUGACAAAAUCAACUAAUGUGGUGGUCAAGUCAUGUGUUACAGGAGCGAAUAGUAAUUUGGAUAAUUGCGUCGCCAUAGAAUAUCGGUAAUAAAAGCAAGGUGUUGAAAUGGGUCACUAGGGUGACUCGAGCCAGGUACGUAUAAAUACGAUUGUGGUUAAACAUACAUUCUUUUUUGGGUCAAAUAAGUAGCAAAUGCCCUUCGUCGUAAAUGAGGGGCUAAAGUUGACUAAAAUGCCCUUGUUGGGUAAACCGAGCAAACAACCUUUAAAAGUUGUUGGAAAUAAGUGUUUUGGUAGAUUAAAUCCUUAAGAUAAGUAUAAAAGGGAUGUUAUGGGACCUUAGUGCAUAAAUACCCUUAACGGGUCAAAAUAAGCAUACAAACGAAAACGGGUUUAAUUUGUGUAAUAAACCGGGGAUUAUAAUCUAGUAUGAUAGAUAACAUUAAGUUGAAGAAGUACACGAGAUAUAAAGGUCAAAUACACAAGUUUGUGAUGAAAUCACGAACGGGUCAAAAGUUGACAAAAAGGGUAAUAAGCCAAAGAUUUAAAAGUCUGAAAUUUUGUUAAACCAGAUGUUAGAUUUUAACUCCAUAUGAUGGAGAAUCAAAUUACAAACACGUAGGAAGAAACGGUAGGUUAAACAGACGAGCGGUUUGAAAGAUACGAAAGUUUUCGUGUCAAAAACGGCAAAAAGGAAAGGAAUGAUGCAGGGGCCACCGUAACUUACGGUGCCACCGUAAGUUACGGUGGACAUGAUUUGGUUACGGUAAAUGCCUACUGUUGUACAGUUGAAUAAUUGAAACACAGAGACCACCGUAACUUACGGUGCCACCGUAAGUUACGGUGGAGGUCAGAAAUGAGUUUUUAUUUUGGAUUUAAGAUAUCCAUGUGGGAUUUUCCUAAUUUCCCCGUUGUAUUACUUUAAUUAAUUAUCAAAACUGACCUUUAAGUUGGUUUUGAUCACAGGUGAAUGUCGAGGGUCCCGGAUGAAGAUCGAGCAUCGAGCAAGAACCGAACACACAUUAAAUAAAGCUUCCGCAACGUUGUUUUGUCGUUAUUCUAAACGGCGAUUUAAAUCACAUUAUGUAUAUCACUUAAAUUGUAAAAGUUUUUAACAAACCCGUAUUUCCGAUGUAUAUAUAAUCAUUAAUUACAUGAUUAUUUUCGCAAAAUAUACGUUAAGCCUUGAUUUAUAAGAACGGGUCUUACAAGUUGGUAAUCAGAGCUCAAGGUUGUUGACAAAAUGUGUUCGGUUCGAGGCUUGAUCGCAAAUCCGGUAAGUACAUGUAUAUUAAUGGUUUGGUAUGUGUUGAAAUGUUGUGAACAACACAUAGGGUUAUCGUGUGAUACACGUUACCCCAAUUAAAAUGAUUGAUAUAGUUGACGAAAAUACGUGCGUUGACGCGUAUAGUAGAAAAAGUCUCGUAUUAUAAUACGGGCGAUUAUUAAAGUUGAUAUUACUAACUCUUGUGAAUGUUUUAAUUAAAGGACACUCGCGUUGAAGACGACGAGAGUCAAACAAAUUGUGGAUACGAUGAUGGAACGAUCCGAAGUAUGACAAGAGGAGCAUGCUCACCGAGGACUAAAUCGCGUAAAGACCGCGAACAAGGUUAAUGGCAAGGAACGCCCGUCGGGGCAAACAUUACCAGGUGCACAUUUUAAAUAAUCGCACAAAUAGUAAUAUGCAACAAAUAAGUAGAAAUUGAAAGUUGCAUAUGUAGAUUAAAAACUUGGAAAAAAAAAACCCGAAUAGAAAAUGUAUUCGGGAUAUUGUUUCCAAGAGAAACAAAUAGAGGCGUUAUUUACAUAGGGCGUGAUGUGAAAACUAUAAAAAGGUCAUGUGCGUCAUGUGUUAAUCGCUUACUCUGGCCAAGUAAGUAGUGGCAUAUGAUACCAUGAACUUCUUAUGGCGGACGCGUUUACAUCCGAUGUAGUAAGGGCGGGGUGAAUGGGACUAAUUAAAAAGUACCCAAAUGAAUCAGAUAAGCAAAAUAUUUGAUAAUAAUGUAAACGCACAACCGAGUGACGGAAGCGUAUUACAUCAGGUUAAUGAGCCCGAGUGAAGGGACAAAGAAGCAUGUAAAAUGAUUUAGACAAGUAUUGGGAGGAGUGUACUUACACUCGAACCCAGAAAACGCAAGCAUGUAAAAUGAUUUAGACAAGUAUUGGGAGGGAGUGUACUUACACUCGAACCCAGAAAACGCAAGCAUGUAAAAUGAUUUAGACAAGUAUUGGGAGGGAGUGUACUUACACUCGAACCCAGAAAACGCAAGCAUGUAAAAUGAUUUAGACAAGUAUUGGGAGGGAGUGUACUUACACUCGAACCCAGAAAACGCAAACAUGUAAAAUGAUUUAGACAAGCAUUGGGAGGGAGUGUACUUACACUCGAACCCGGAAAAUGCAAAUAUGUCCCUUAACGGGUCGUUUUUGUAAAACGUCAAACUUAAAGACAAAGUCG